UGGUUCUGGCAUCGAUGAAGAACGCAGCGAAAUGCGAUAAGUAAUGCGAAUUGCAGAAUUCCGUGAGUCAUCGAAUCUUUGAACGCACAUUGCGCCCCCUGGUAUUCCGGAGGGCAUGCCUGUCCGAGCGUCAUUAAUCUAUCUCAAGCCCGGCUUGACAGUGGGUACCACCGCUACGACGGUCACCCCAAAAGAUUUUAACGGGCCCCGUACCCCGCGGACACAGCGAGCUUCUCAGCACGUGUCCCGGCGUCACGCGGCGGCUCUCAACCCCAUCUUAGGUUGACCUCGGAUCAGACAGGGUUACCCGCUGA
This 314-nucleotide unclassified non-coding RNA is filed under the name uncultured fungus. RNAcentral describes it as "partial contains 5.8S ribosomal RNA and internal transcribed spacer 2". The stretch from base 1 to 133 matches the Rfam family "5.8S ribosomal RNA", at positions 22 to 154 of the family's 154-position model. The record is from RNAcentral. Lineage: Eukaryota; Fungi.